Molecule: unclassified non-coding RNA, 4022 nt
Filed under: Orussus abietinus
Lineage: Eukaryota; Metazoa; Arthropoda; Insecta; Hymenoptera; Orussidae
Description: nuclear transcription factor Y subunit C-8, transcript variant X5
Source: RNAcentral
UUCGAGCACGUUAUACAGUCGUUAUUAUUAAAUAGUUAUCAGAAAUCCCUGAAAAAAUACUUUCUUUUUUUUUCGAGCGCUUAUUAUUGUGCCAGCAGGGUUAAUUAAGUAACUAGAUUUAUCGGACUAGAUAAAUUUUUUGAUCCGUCAGUGAUGACAAACCGAACAGACUUUUCGGUUGAAUAAAUCGGAAAGCUACAUAAAGUUUUAGAAUAACAAUGGUUAAGGAGAGUUAAAUCGUGUCCACGUCUAGUCAAAUGGAACCCAUCGAUUGUACAGACUGAUGUACCCAAAUAAUUGUAAAUCUUAUAAAUGAUGUCAAUGUGAAACAGCACAAGAAAUUCGGCCAACUAACCUAGUAUCUGCAUAAGUUUCCAGCAAACGGUGUACAUAACAAACUCCAAAAUAUAACUGCGUGAUAAUGCCAAGUAAAAAGAAAAAAUACAAUGCCCGUUUCCCCGCGGGUCGCAUAAAAAAGAUCAUGCAGACAGACGAGGAAGUAGGAAAAGUUGCUCAAGCAGUUCCAGUUAUAAUUUCUAGAACUCUCGAGUUGUUCGUUCACUCGUUACUUACGAAAACGAUGCAGGUUACUAGUGCCAAAAAUGCCAAAACUCUUAGCCCAUCUCACAUGAAACAAUGUAUCCUUUCGGAGAGUCGAUUUGACUUCUUGAAAGAUUUAGUGAAAGGGUUUCCAGAUAUAACAGGCCCGGAUGAAGAGGUGCCCACACCUCCGUUAACACCUGCACCCAUUGCAGCAAAUUCCCUCCUAUCGACCACGUGUUUACAAUCGGCGCGUCAUUCAGUGCCUAGCAUUCCAACAGACAUAGCGUCUCAUUGUGAUAUAAAUAUAACUCCUGUCGGUACGAGGGACAGCAAAGGAAGUUCAUCUUCCAGUACCACAUUGCACGAAACAGCAAAAGUCGCAAGCUUACAAGCUCCAGAUUUUCAGAUGUCAGUGCCCACGUCAUUUAACGUUAGCCAGCCUAAUUUUUAUACCGAGGUGAAUCCUGCCAAUUUAGCAACCGGUACGUCAUGCUUAAGCGCAUCUAAUAAACCGAUGUCAAAUUUCACACACACUGCCAACAUCGACGAGGACUAUGACACAUAGUUUCUGCCUCGAAAUUUCCACGUUAAUACAGGUUUCUAGAUGCCUUGCUUAAUGCGAAGUUUCACGUAUACACGGUAUAUCGAUAUCGAUGAUGAACUAUUUUUCUUUUGUGCUUAAUUAAUUUAACCAAUAAUGUGGUCACCGAUGAAGUCAUUUUAUAGCGUCGCAUUGAUCCUCGAAACGGUUACUACGAAGGAUGUUCCGUGAUGUAGUUAACGAAGUAUAUAAUUAGUGAAUUGCACCUGUACACGUGGACACGCUUGAGACAAUAUUUGUGUAUACAUGUUCGGAGCUGGUAGCCAACGGAGAGCCGAAGGAUUAGCAAGGUACGUAGGAGUUUUCUGCGAUAUUUGCGGGAAGACCCACCUGAGAAUGAAUUUUGCUGGAAGUAAUUGAACUCUAACGGAACGUCAUUCAAGUAAUGCCAUUAUACCGCAGCAAAGGAGAAUGUAGAGUAUAGUAUGGAAAAUGAAUCGCAAUAACACGUGCCCUGCAAAAACUGUAAUAGUCAUUAUUGUGACACAAGUAGGAACACAUGUUGAUACUAGAUAGGUUAUUUAGCUGAUCGGCUUCCGUUUUCUUUUUACGAUUACUACUCACGUGUAUCCGAUUUAUGUUAAGCGAAAAUUGCCAAUGUACCACUACGAUUCUUUACAAGUCACUUGAUAUUUAUUUUACAUCUUUUAUCGCGUCUUUUACUCAUUUGUCGAUGAUAGGUUUCAAUGUCCGUAAUUUAGAAACGACGUAUAUUAUAUAUUCGUAAAAAAUGAAGUAACUUUAGUUAGUGUACCUAAGUACGUUAGUUUUGUUUAGAUGUGGUCAAUAGCGACGUCGAGCUACGUUUACGGUACAUACAUCGAACAAGUUGAUUUACAUUAAUGCAUCGUCAAGACGGUAGUGUUUAGUGUUUAAGUAUCUUCGGUCGGUGUAUUUAUAUGAGCUGUAAAUAGGACCUCUCGACCUCUUUUAAAGUAACCAUUCAGUACCCGUGUAGAAAUUAACACUUUAUCGACCGGAAGCCGAUUAAUCGGUUUUGCGAUACCCGUGAUCGCCAUUUACUUCGAAAUUCGCCGGUCGGUAAAGUGUUAAGUUAAAUAAAAAUAGAUCGUGUUCAUUUCCAAGAGAUUCGCUCGAUCGGUCGGUUCCCUUUCCUUGGUUAAAAAUGUCUAAAAACACAUGUCAGAGUCGCAUGGUCAUCUCAUCGGUGGGAUAUGAAACCACUGAACACAACUGUUGGUAUAAAAAGAUUUUCUUCUAGAUUUAAAAAAAAUACGGUUACAGUACAUUUCAGCACAGCUUAAUUUUAAAUAUUUCGAACGUAAAGGGGGCGGGGGGGAGUAGCGUUGGACAAAUAAUACAUACAUUUGCAGCACGUGUCUCCGCAUAUUGCAAUUUCGGCGUGCCUGAAGGGUUGAAUUAUUAAAUACGAUAUAAAUAUGUAAUCAGGGAGGAAAUACUUAAAGAUUUCUCAAGUUUAUCAGGACUUACGAAUACGACGCCGAGAUUAUUGCGCGAGAGUUAUCGAACGUAAACGCAUUUAAUUACAAAAGUAAGCCGUUUGCUCUAUAAAGUGGUAGUAAUUAUUUACAAGAUAUCCGCAAGUACGUUACGCGCGUGACAUUAACGACCACUAAUUCAACUUGUCGUUAAUUAAAUGGGGAAACCUUAACUCUCUUCGCGGGGGGGGUAAAGUUAGGUACAUCGUGAUGUCGCUUCGCCGAAUCGGCGCGAGUUGGGUCUGCGAAAUUGAACGUUAAUGUCGCAUUUGGUAAAGUUUGUCUAAUAGUUACGGAGGUUCAUAAAUUAAUAUGUAAAUAUACAGCGUUAAUCUCUGAACACCGUGGAAAGUGUUUCACGGGUGCGCAACAUAAAUUAUGACUCGGCGGUUCGACGCAAUUUCCCCAUGGUAUUUUCGGCGCGUUCGCGCAAUAAAUAUUAGUUUUACAGGUUCCUCCAUAAUGUACAAUAUCGCGGUCAUUGACGAUCGGCGGAUACAAGAAUUUCAACUGGACGGUCCGCGCUCGUCGCGGAGUCGGGAGAGAAUUUUUCGAUUUCAUAAAUAUGUAUACAUAUGUGUAUAGAUUACUUAACGAGUUUUCCUCCGUUUUGCGGUAGCAUUGACAUCAAAGUACAUACUUUGUAGCGCCCGCUCGAGCGAAGGAUCUCGUCGAUCUUACCAAGCUGAAUCGGCAGGAAUUUAGAGAACGUUAGUGGGAUGUUAAACGUAACUUACAUUCUCAGGAACACGGUAUGGUACAAAGAAUAUCCUGUAUUCUAUCGUAAUGUAAAUUAUGCGACUUAACGAGCUAGUACUAACGAUAUCGCCGCGCUAUUCCGUAGGUUCAGGUUCCUCGAUCGCUUCCGAUAGGCUAUGGGCUAUCCGGUGGAUCUUUCAUUAUAAAUAGCAUCGGCGCGUUUAGGUAUAAAUAUUACUCUAGCGGUGUCUAUUCAAGUACACUUUGAAUGGUGCUUUGGCAGCUGUAGCACCAUACAAGAGCAUCGUCGAUCUUCAACGUUCCCUGUCUUUAACCCUCGAGAGUCGAAAAUAUUUAUGCGUGCUUGGGGGGGCACGGACUAACGUUAAAUGUCAACGUUCCAAAGGCCCGUUUCUGAAAGAUAUUUGCCAGAAAAAAAAAAGUGUAUCUUGAAUACGACGAUGAAAUUGUUUUCGCCAGGCGAGGGUCAACUACUUUUGUACUACCCACUCUAUGCAGUUAUCUUUUGAACGUACUUGGCGCGCGAGCAGACGGAUUUUCGAGGAGACUUCUACGAUUCCACGGUGCCCGACGGGAACCGACAGCGGAGGAGAUCCCCCGACGAUUGCGGGUACGUUUCCCGAAGAAGUUUUAGAAUAAUGAAUUGGAGAAUUUGGUAAACGGUACGUCGUCCUCGUCAAUGAACCCAUUCGAGUAAC